AUUGGCCUAGCCGUCACCUCCAGGCCUCAAACUAUUCAACAAACACACAGCCAACACUCACAUUUAGCUAUUUAAUAUCACAACCCGCCGCUUCCUGUUACCACAGAAACAUUUAUUCCAUAUCGCUCACUCGACACUACUCUACCAUGGCCGUUAUCUUAAAUUUAGACAGCUUGUGUGAAGGUCCUCGCGUGGAAAGCGGAGGCGCAGCGACCCCGUUGGCUGAAA
Long non-coding RNA from Carassius gibelio (silver crucian carp), 228 nucleotides. RefSeq lists it as uncharacterized. The transcript has 2 exons. The record is from RefSeq and is a predicted model, not a curated record. Lineage: Eukaryota; Metazoa; Chordata; Actinopteri; Cypriniformes; Cyprinidae.